AUACUUACCUGGCAGGGGAGAUACUGUGAUCACGAAGGUGGUUUUCCCAGGGCGAGACUUAUUCAUUGCACUCUGCUGAACCCUGCAAUAUCCCCAAACGUGGUAAACUCGACUGCAUAAUUUGUGGUAGUGUGGGACUGCGUUCUCGCUUUCCCCUG
Small nuclear RNA from Eubalaena glacialis (North Atlantic right whale), 158 nucleotides. RefSeq annotates it as U1 spliceosomal RNA. The transcript has a single exon. The record is from RefSeq and is a predicted model, not a curated record. NCBI's taxonomy places the organism in Eukaryota, Metazoa, Chordata, Mammalia, Artiodactyla, Balaenidae.